AAUCUUCCACAAUGGACGGAAGUCUGAUGGAGCAACGCCGCGUGAGCGAAGAAGGUUUUCGGAUCGUAAAGCUCUGUUGUAAGGGAAGAACACGUACGGGAGUCACUGCCCGUACCUUGACGUUACCAUAGCAGAAAGCCACGGCUAACUCCGUUCCAGCAGCCGCGUUAAUACGUAGGUGGCAAGCGUUGUCCGGAAUUAUUGGGCGUAAAGCGCGCGCAGGCGGGCCUUUAAGGCUGAUGUGAAAGCCCACGGCUCAACCGUGGAGGGUCAUUGGAAACUGGAGGACUUGAGUACAGAAGAGGAAAGCGGAAUUCCACGUGUAGCGGUGAAAUGCGUAGAGAUGUGGAGGAACACCAGUGGCGAAGGCGGCUUUCUGGUCUGUAACUGACGCUGAGGCGCGAAAGCGUGGGGAGCAAACA
RNAcentral lists this ribosomal RNA (422 nucleotides) under uncultured bacterium. RNAcentral describes it as "partial 16S ribosomal RNA". It matches the Rfam family "Bacterial small subunit ribosomal RNA", at positions 360 to 774 of the family's 1533-position model. The record is from RNAcentral.